AGUACUUUCGAUUCACUCACUGGGUAGCCACAAGUAAGCGUGUAGCCAGUGGUAUCGUAUGCCAACAUCUUGGGCCUUUGGGGCCUUCAAAGCAAGCAAGUCAGUAAAAGUAAAAUACAACACAUAAUCGAUUUUGAAAUUCACAGAUAUUUAGCAUCAUCAAACUUUUAUUUAUGUUUACAUACUUCUUCGUUGUUUUCGUCUUUGCUGAAAAGAUUACGGUCACAAGAAAAUGGCGGCCCAGCAGGCGGCUGGAAUCAACUGAGUCGUUUAGACAGUUUAGACAUCAAGCGAAAACGAGAUUCGGACAUUUGAAUGAAUGUUAUACGAACAUCCCCUAAAAUGAAUAGAGUCAUCACAUAAGGUUUACGUGAAUUGACCAAACGUCAAACAAUCUACGUGAAUUUCCAGUGUGAAAAACUCGAUUUUGAAAAUGGCGAGCAGUGGCCCUCGAAGUUAUGAAAGUUUCCAUGUGUUCAACUGGACCGAGUGCCUGCGUGAGUCCGGAAGUUUACCCGUUCCUGCCGAAUGCUUCAAACAGGCCGUCGGUAUGAAGCUAGAGACACUGGAACCAUGUAAUGCGACUUCAACCUGCAUCGGUGGUGUUGUGGUAGUUCUUGGAUCUCGACUUCGGCUUCGGUUGGAUGGCAGUGACAACAUAAACGAUUUCUGGAGGCUUGUCGAUUUCAGAUACCACGACGUUAUUAGUUGCUUUUUAAUCCAUUGGAAUUAUAUGACAAUUUUCUGAAAUAAAUA
Molecule: long non-coding RNA, 756 nt
Organism: Malaya genurostris
Lineage: Eukaryota; Metazoa; Arthropoda; Insecta; Diptera; Culicidae
Exons: 3
Source: RefSeq, a predicted model, not a curated record